RNAcentral lists this ribosomal RNA (253 nucleotides) under uncultured bacterium. Its description in RNAcentral is "partial 16S ribosomal RNA". It matches the Rfam family "Bacterial small subunit ribosomal RNA", at positions 524 to 776 of the family's 1533-position model. The record is from RNAcentral.
UACGUAGGGUGCAAGCGUUGUCCGGAAUUAUUGGGCGUAAAGAGCUCGUAGGCGGUCUGUUGCGUCGGCUGUGAAAACCCGGGGCUCAACUCCGGGCCUGCAGCCGAUACGGGCAGACUAGAGUUCGGCAGGGGAGACUGGAAUUCCUGGUGUAGCGGUGAAAUGCGCAGAUAUCAGGAGGAACACCGGUGGCGAAGGCGGGUCUCUGGGCCGAUACUGACACUGAGGAGCGAAAGCGUGGGGAGCGAACAGG